UAGGCUGCAACUCGCCUGCGUGAAGUUGGAAUUGCUAGUAAUCGCGGAUCAGCAUGCCGCGGUGAAUACGUUCCCGGGCCUUGUACACACCGCCCGUCACACCAUGGGAGCCGGUAAUACCCGAAGUCAGUAGUCUAACCGCAAGGGGGGCGCUGCCGAAGGUAGGAUUGGCGACUGGGGUGAAGUCGUAACAAGGUAAC
RNAcentral lists this ribosomal RNA (200 nucleotides) under uncultured bacterium. RNAcentral's name for it is "partial 16S ribosomal RNA". It matches the Rfam family "Bacterial small subunit ribosomal RNA", at positions 1301 to 1500 of the family's 1533-position model. The record is from RNAcentral.